Molecule: long non-coding RNA, 1820 nt
Organism: Ostrea edulis (European flat oyster)
Lineage: Eukaryota; Metazoa; Mollusca; Bivalvia; Ostreida; Ostreidae
Exons: 2
Source: RefSeq, a predicted model, not a curated record
ACUGUAUCACGUCCAAAACUGUAUUAAUUAAAAUGGAUAAUUUUAGUUUCGGUUAUCUCACGUCUCCACCGGAACUAUAAAAAAAAUACAGAAUUUAUAGUUCCGUGUAAUCAUAAUACCUUACGUUGUACGCAAAAUGUUUUUGUUGUUUUAAUGCUCCAAAAACAAUGUAUUCCGUCAACGGGAGAAAAUUCAUGGAGGGUCCUAUUUACGGAGAAACUAUCAACGAGUUGUUGGGACCAGACACAAUUGAAAUACUUCGAGAGGCAGGAGUUUCGGUAUUUAUUGAGUGCUAGUGCUUGAAACAGCUGAUCAAAGUUUAAUAUGAAACUAGUCAUAUUACAUACUGUCUAGAUUUCUCAUUAUAUAUAAUUAUGUAAGUACUCUCUCCUGAAGGUGUGUAAAGUUUCAUGUCAGUGUAAAAAAAAAAAGAAAGAAGAAGACCCGAUCGGUAUCUAUUCAUAGUUCCAUAAUUGACUGCUUUCGAUGCAUUUCUAAGCACCAUUUUUAAAUUUUAUUUAUUAUUAUUAUUAACAUUUUAUCUUUAUUGAAAAUCCACAUCUUUUGUUUGCAUUAGUUUUUGUGACGAGGAACAUGGAUAUUUUGAUAUGAGUUUCCAAGAUUAAGUUGUAAAUAGUUAUCGUAUAAAAUGCUGUUACGGUCAUUAGCUUUUACUUUCAUUUUCCUGAUCAGUAUUCAAUGUCGAUGUUUUAAAGGAGAAACUUAGCAAAGGGGUUGCUGAAGUUUUUAAUGAUGAUAUAUUCCGUCCAAAUGUGUCUCAGAAAAGAAUGGCCAAAUCAACUCGGGAGCAAAUGACUUGCGAGACACCAUCUAACAAUACAAGUGAAGCAGUUAUGAGGAACAAAAGGACUAAAAAGUCUCUGUUUUCUGAUCAGGCUGAUAGUAAUGAAGAUAAAAUGUUUUCACAAAAUAUAACAUGUUAAUAUCAAUAGACUGCUGUCUUUACCAAUAGUGUAGUUUAGGUUUAAGUAUAAUAUAGUAAAAACAGGAUGUGUUGCAAUAUGUCUGUCCCACCUGGUCCGUAAAUGGGCAAGUGCAAUCUGGGCAGUAAUCCGUCAACAGAAUGUUUAUGUGGUCGAGGGUAAAGCACCUGACUGAUAAUUUUGCACUGUAUAUACAGUAUGGUAUGGUACAGAGAUUUCAAUAGUAUUGUUUAAAGUCAGCAUUUCGAAAAUUAUAUGGUCAUCAUAGCGAUCUAAUUUAUCAAUACAACUUAUCAUUACGUUAAAUGCUGUCUGACGUGUUUCAUACCGAUUGUUAUAACGUUUUUGGCACACUGAUUUUGAGUGCGGAUAACUUCGUUUUCACGAUCAGGAUAUAGGGCUACCUGCUUGUGUGACCAGUUGGCAGAGGUUGCUUACUCCUCCUGGGCACCUGAUUCCACCUCUGGUGUGUCCAGGGAUCCGUGUUUGCGCAACUAUCUAAUUUGUAUUGCUCAUAGGAGUUGUGAGAUUGAUCAUUUUUCCAUAUGUGAUAUGUAUAUUUAUUUAUUUAUUCAUUUUGUAUAGGAUCUUCUAUAGUUUGUAAUUUGAUAUAUGAUUUCAACCAGUUGUGUAACUUCUAUCCCCGAGUUGUGGCGAGUUGGAUAUAAAUCAUGUCAAACCACAAAUGAUGGAAGAUUUUUUUCACAUUAAGCUAACAACCCCCCCCCCCCCCCCCCCCCCCCCCCCUGUUAUUCAUUUACGAUACUGCAUUGCUGGAAAUUUUGCUUUUGCUUCUUGAUAUUUUGUAAAACCACCCUACGUAAAAUUGAAGUUUUAUGUAAUAGGCGAUAUCCACUGAAUAAAGGAGUAAACAUG